GAGCGGGACGGUCGCGCCGCUUGAAGCGGUGAGGAAAGUCCGGGCUUCAUAAGGCAAGGAUAACGGGUAACACCCGCCGAAGGCGACUUCAGGGAAAGUGCAACAGAAAUAAACCGCCGGGGCUUCCCCGGUAAGGAUGGAAAGGCGAGGCAAGAGCUCACCGGCGCACAGGCGACUGUGCGGCCCUGCAAACCCUAUCCGAAGCAACAUCUCACAGACAGGGGUCAAAAGCCCCGGGUCCGCCUGACCGUCAGAGAUGGCUCGAGGCGUCCGGCAACGGGCGUCCCAGACAGAUGACCGUCGGCAGAGCGAUCUGUCACAGAACCCGGCUUACAAGCUCAGUC
This 344-nucleotide RNase P RNA is filed under the name bovine gut metagenome. RNAcentral describes it as "Bacterial RNase P class A". It matches the Rfam family "Bacterial RNase P class A". Rfam says of the family: Ribonuclease P (RNase P) is a ubiquitous endoribonuclease, found in archaea, bacteria and eukarya as well as chloroplasts and mitochondria. The record is from RNAcentral.